CAUCUCCCAACUAAUCCCUUCUUUCCCAGGCUAGACUGACAGAUGUCCUUUGUCCAGCACCUCCCCUGUGCCAUUUUGACUCUUAUGGUGCAUAUGCCUGCCUUCCCCUGGUCCCACCCCCAAUCUGGUAUGGGGUAUGGGAGAGAUUU
Phyllostomus discolor (pale spear-nosed bat) is the source of this 149-nucleotide long non-coding RNA. RefSeq lists it as uncharacterized. Lineage: Eukaryota; Metazoa; Chordata; Mammalia; Chiroptera; Phyllostomidae. The transcript is spliced from 3 exons. The record is from RefSeq and is a predicted model, not a curated record.